Molecule: ribosomal RNA, 298 nt
Filed under: uncultured Planctomycetota bacterium
Lineage: Bacteria; Pseudomonadati; Planctomycetota
Description: uncultured planctomycete partial 16S ribosomal RNA
Rfam family: Bacterial small subunit ribosomal RNA
Source: RNAcentral
UUGACGGGGGCUCAAACAAGCGGUGGAGCAUGUGGCUUAAUUCGAGGCAACGCGAAGAACUUUAUCCUGGGCUUGACAUGUACGGAUUAACCCCAUGAAAGUGGGGCCACACUCGCAAGAGCGGAACGUGCACAGGUGCUGCAUGGCUGUCGUCCGCUCGUGUCGUGAGAUGUCGCGUUAAGUCGCUAAACGAGCGAAACCCCUAUCCUUAGUUGCCAGCGCGUCAUGGCGGGGACUCUAAGGAGACUGCCGGUGUCAAACCGGAGGAAGGCGGGGAUGACGUCAAGUCCUCAUGGCC